Pongo pygmaeus (Bornean orangutan) is the source of this 6845-nucleotide long non-coding RNA. RefSeq lists it as uncharacterized. Lineage: Eukaryota; Metazoa; Chordata; Mammalia; Primates; Hominidae. The record is from RefSeq and is a predicted model, not a curated record. The transcript has 2 exons.
CCCGGGUGGAGCACCCUCCCCCGACGAAGGGCCUGGGCGUCCCCACCCGGCGCCCCUCCUCCCGCGCUCCACCCUCUCCCCGGCCCCGAGGGAACCGCAGGCCGGGCCCAGAAAGGCUGAGUCCCGGAGCGGUGAGCGGCGCCGUCGGGACCCUCGGCCUGCGCGGCAGGAAGAGGCGGCCACCGCGGAGCCACGCACCGCUCAGGAUGUCUCACGCCAGGACCGCGCCAGGGCCGUGGUGUGGGGCAAGAGCUUCGUGUCACCCCGCACCUCCCAGCAGGAAGGUGGUGUGGAUCCGAGUCAGGGUGAGGGUGGAAGACAGCGGGUUGGCAGGGUGCACGCCCUCCCACUAGGAGCAAGGCUAGUGAAGCAGGACCGGCCACACCACGUCCACCUUGGUGCCUUCUGACAGGUCAGGCUGGGCCCCAGUCCCUGGUUCCUGGUGAGCUUCCUGUCACCCCACACCUCCCUGCCUGCCCAGAUCAGCAUUGCAUCUGGAGGGUUCCGAAGAGAAACACAACCUGGGGGCGUUGGUAACAGCAGGUGAGACAGCCUUGUCCUGCCCUGCUGUGCUGUGUUGCAUCCACUAGAAAGGGGCCUCCUGUUCUGACCCCAGCCCCUGCCCCCGAGAUGCAGCUGGCAUGUCCCUGUGGGCAUCUCCCUGACGAGGUCCAGGGGUGAGUGGGCCACAGGCCUGUUUGCACAGGUGCCUUCUUUUGGGAGGGAACAGCCCACCACCACCUCCUGCCAGACCAGCCUCUUUGAGCAUAAACCUGACCCUGGGUGACCACGCUGGGCUCCCUCACCUUAAUCUCACCAGAGGCUUCUGCUGGUCCCACAGCCAACCCGCGGAGUGAGGUCUGGGCCAGCGGUGCUCUGCUCAGACAAGGAACAUGCCCAGAAGCCUCCCCAGCUAUCCUGGCCCCGUUCUGUGGGGCUCCUUGGUCUGUUGGGGUCUGAGGGACCAGGUGGGAGUGUGGGUGUGAGUGUGGGUGAUCCUUCCUUAUGUGGCCACCCUUGGCCCUAUCAACCUGUCUGCAUCCAGGACACCAGCACAUCCCUGACCCCAGGUGUGGCUGCCAGCGAGUUCCUGUGCCUUCCUCCCCUGAAGUCUGUGUCUUCUCCCAGGUCUGAUGCCAUGUGGAAAGUCCACUCCUGGGGCCAGCUGGAGGCCAUGUGGACUGGCCCUGAGUGCCCACUGUCUGGCCGCAGCCUUCACUGUACUGCCCGUGUGCGGGCUACUAGGUUCACCUGCACCUGACCCUCGUUCUAGGUUCACCUGCACCUGACUCCCUGAUGCUCACACAGUGACUUGGGGAGGGAGGCUGGGGAGGCACAGGUCUGCAUGGCAGCGCCUCUCUGGGUCUGAGGCCCUUGGGCCAGGCCUCUCCUCUGACCUGGGCCAGUGGAGGGGCCUCCUUUCCCUUCCAAGAGCCCUUCCCUGUUCACCAGCGUCUCACCACGCUCAGGCCCACAGUGUGGUUCAGGAGGGGCAUGGGGCUGGCCCUGGGUUUCUGGCUGGGUGUGGGGGCCUACCCGGGCCCCCCAGCCUAACUUCCAGCCCACAAUCUGGCUCCACCUGUCUCUGGAGGACCAUGGUGUCUUCCGGAAAAGACCCUGACUGGGUCCAAAGCUGGAGGCACCCCUCUAUCUUCACCGUCCACUCCCUGAUGUUCUGGAGGCCCCUCCAGGGGCUGGGUGAGGAGGCCUUCCCCACCACCUCCUUGUCUUCCUGAGAAGCAGGCACCUGUUCGGAGGCCACUUUCCCACUGGACCAGGCUCCUCACCCCCAGCAUCACCCUUUUCCGCGGGGUUGUGCCCCUUCCUUGGUCCUGUCCACUCACACACACCUGUGUCUGUGUCCAUGUUCACACCUGUUCUGUGUCCACUCGCACACCUAUAUCUCGUGUCCACUUGCACAUCUGUGUUCCGUGUCCACUCGCUCACACCCAUGUCUCCUGUCCACUGGUUCACAUCUGUCCCGUGUUCACUCACACACCUGUGUCCCGUGUCCCGCGUUUGCUCACACACGUGUGUAAUGUGUCCACUCACCUAUGUCGACUGGCUUACACCUGUCCCUUGUUCCCUUGCGCAUCUGUGUCCCAUGUCUUGUGUCUGCUCGCACAUCUGUGAUGUGUCCACUUGCUCACACCUGUCCCGUGUCCUCCACUCGCACACCUGUGUCCCAUGUCCACUCACAUACCUGUCUUGGUCUGGGACACCUGGGCCCCACUCUCCCCUGCACUCCUCAGGCUGGCGGCAGAGGCCAGAGGAACGGAGUUUUGGCGCUGGAAUCAUCCUGAGCGAGGCAGGGACCUGGCGGUGUGGAUUCCACCGCUCCUCCUCCGGCCCACCGAGCCCUGCCUGCCUGGGCCUUGGUGCCUCUGUCGCUGCUCCGGGUCCCCCUGCUGGGGCCCCUCCGCCGCUGGGCUGAGGCUGGAGCCGCUGCCUCCCGCCACCAGAGGGAGGAGGUCAUAAAUAACCCUGGGGCUGCCAUGGAGCAGACGGUGACCCCAGACGUCCUGGGAGUGUUGGGGCGCCAGGGGCUGCUGCCCCAGCCCGCACGCCGCCUCCGCCAUCCGGGAGUGCCUGCCCAGGCUCCCCAGCACUUCUCUUAAAGCCCUUCUCAUCCAUCCCCUCAUCAAUCAAUCAACCAUUUAUUGAGUCCAGAUGUGGUACAGCCCCAGCCGGAGAUGACCCAGAGGUGGCGUGGGGAGGAGAGAGAUGGGGAAGCCGAGUCCAGGGCCACAGGUGCAGCCAGGAGGGGCAGGUGAGCAGCGCUCAGGCCGGCCUGUCAGCCUCAGUCCUGAGCUUGCUUCUGGUGGUGGAGGGAGAUAUACAGAAAAGAUCCUGCAGCCUGCAGGUGUGGCACAGCUGAUCUCGGGCCAAGGAUGCACAGCUGUGUGUGUGCCUGGCCACCGGCAAGGGCACGCGUGCUCAGAAGCACAGGUGUGCCCACACCCUGCGUGCCUGUGUGUGGCGCAGCAGCUCCCGACUCGCGCACGACACACACACAGCACAGACAGACCCUCCCAUGGCCACAUGGACAAAGAUGGCUUCACCACAGACACCGGUGCAGACAGGAUGUGCACUGCUUUCCAAGGCCUGCGCGCAACACAGACCCAGGGCCUGCGGGCAGCAGCACCGCACAGACCCAGGCACACAUGAUCCUCAGCCAAGGUGGCCUGUCCAGUGCCAGGGUCCAGUCCUGGUGCUGCUGGACGGAAAGGCUAACCCGGGAGGUCAGGGGUCAUGGUAAAUCAGCUGGGCUCCCUCAGAUGCUCCUGCAGAAGUGGCCAGGACCUCAGGAACGCACCUGCUCCUGGUCAGACAGGAGGGGCUGCCGCACUGCAACUUGCCCGCGCCUUUGGGUGCUGUGAGCUGGCUGUGCACCACAUCGUUUCAAGGACACAAGAAGGUGUUUCCAAGUCCAGUCUGUCCACCGACCUGAACCUUUACCAUUGAAAGAACAAAGGGGUGGGGCCCAGGGGACCCUUCCCUGCCCUCCCGUGGUGUGUAAUCAGGGAUGCUCCUGCAGACACACAGGUGGGCUCUGACUGCCAGAUCGCAGGGGCGGUGCCAUGGUCCUCACCUGCCAUGUCACUAGUGUGCUGACACGCACACCAGCGAGAGAGAGAGUGCUAGGACCGGCACAUCCCAGACAAUUCCUCUGUAAAUGGUGCAGCAGCCAGAGGCCCCGGCACCUUGAGGCUAAGCAAAGGGAAAGAAUAGAGUUCUCCAGAACCCCAAGGAGCGGGAGGGUCUGUCCCAAUGGAUGGGCUCAGCCAAUUUCACCUUCUCCUCCCCCUGCCAACACUGCGGCCUGCAGCCUGGACCUGGCCCGGGUUGUGGAGGGGACCAGAGGAUGCAGCUGCCACCUGCUGGGUGGACGUGGGCCUAGGUGGUCCUCAGCGCUCAUGGCAGGAGCCCCCGAAGCACUGUUGCGGCACCCUCUCUGACACUGGGUCGGAGACUCUGGGAGCCGAGUGCAGAGCCAGGGCCCAGCACGCAGGCCUUGGGCUCCAGUCCCUGUCCCCCACAUCUGGAAUGUGCCAGCAGGGCCCAGUGCGAGAGAAGAGCAGAUCCCUACGUGAGUGAGGGUGGAGGAAUGGUGCCUCUGCCAUGGCCACAGUGCCGCCGUCCACAUCAGCUCACUCUCAGCACAGAUGCUGUGUGAAGGCCUCGGGCCACGCCGCUUGUUCUGAGGGCCCCAGCGGGUCGGGCUCUUGCUGUGCUGGCUGCACAUUGACUAGCUGGUGAGCUUGGCGGGUCUGUGGGCACAGAGAGACCAGAACCCGCAUAACAGGCCCAAUGAGGAUGCCAGGCUUCAGAGGAGAGGGGCACCAGCCAGGGGCCCUGCACAGACAGCUUCAGGUGCAAGGAGCUGGAGCCCAGGCCAGCUGGGGAGGGGCAGGGUGCGGUGGCUGGAAGUCGCUAUUCUCAGACCCGGUUCUGAGACCCUCUCCAACUGCAUGGGGGGGGUGGUCCAGGCUGGACCCCAGAUGUGACGGUGUAUGUGCUGGGAUGGGAGUCCCCUGAGAACAGGGCUUUUGUUAAUUCACCAGCAAUCCCACAAGUCUGGCACGAGAUAGGUGGUCAGUUAGUGAAGACCACACGCAGGGGGUCUUCCACUGUGUCCAGGGGAGGGUGGGCCCUGCUCACAGCCAGACUGGGUACAGCUCCAGGUGGGCUCCGGGGCUCGCCCAGGGCAGCUCAGCCUCCUAGCCCUGGGCAGCCCUGCUGCCUGCCUUCCUGUCCCUGGUGCUCUGUAGGAGUCUGACCACAGGUAUCCUCUUCAUCAGAGAGAGGAAAGCUCACAACGUGGGAGAACUCCAGGCCUGGCCCAGCGAAGACGUCCUUGUCUUCAGCAGACGUUGCCCAGUGCAAGGGGAGGUCAGUCUCAGGAGACAGUCUCACGCUCAGUGGCGUGGUGUCUGUCCUAAGGCCUUGCCUGCAGCACAGGGUGCCACAGAGGUCCCCUGUGACAGAGCCUCAUGGCUGGGGCAGGCAGGGGUCACACCUGCUCCUGCACGAAGAGGCAGAUACAGACCCAUGGAGUGGUCUCUGGGGUCCCACAUCCCAGGUGGAGAAUGACCCACGUCGCUGGCGUCUGUGUCAUCUCUGCUCCACUGACCACUCAUGGGGGUCCUAGAGAUCCUGACGCUGGUGGCCGGGGAGCAGCAGCCCAGGCACAGGCCCCAGUGCACACGCAGAUCCUACCAUGUCUGCACAAGGCCUUGCCCCCACGAGGCCUGGGCGCCGUGUGAGGGCCGGGACGCUAACACAGCGGAGGGUACCCACGCGUGAGCUGUUCUGGGGUCCCUCCCCAUGUUUCUUCGGGUAAUGAAACUUGUACCUAAAUGGGAUAUGCAGGGUUCCACUGUGCAGUUGGUAUGUAUUUUAGGAUCUCAUCCCCGUGUGCCCCAGCAGGACCACAGCUGUGACCGGCUGCUCCAGAAGAAGUGGGUGGGUUGAGACCCCACCGGCCGGGUCACUGGGGGCAGCAGGCCCUCUGUCAGCACUGAGUUCUGUGUCAUGUCAGGGAUUUUCAGGGCGGCAAGCUUAGGUGGACAGGCAGUUUUAUUCUGUUUCCCAUGUCAAGUCCAGCUCCAGACUGACUUUCUGAGGUCACAGACGGAGCCUCACCCCAUCCAAGGCGGUGUCCUGGACUCCCACUGUGCUCCCCAGAGGGCAGGGUGAGUGCGUGGCAUCCUUUUGGCGGGCGUGGGUGCCUCUGUGGACCUGGCGUGAGGCUUCUCUGUUUCUGAGUCUCUUAUGGACCAUCUGUCUUCUGUGUGGCUGCUGAGGAAUCACACUGAGGUGGCCGUGCAGGUGGCUGAAUGAGAACAGGACCGCCAUGCUGCACAGCCCUGUGUGACCCCGGGGAUGGCCCCAGAAGCGAGUGGGCGAGGCUGGGCAGCAGGGAUUGGCUGAAAUCAUCUUUGGAGCCCAAGGUGCAGGGGAAAGGUGGCAAUUCCAGGGUCCCUUUGUUCGCCAGGUACCUGGGGCCCAGCCUGGGCAGCAGGAGGGACUCAGCCCCUCGCCCAGGGAGGAAGGGUCCCAAGCAGAGGCCCCUCCUUCCUGCACUCCCCAGCCCACACCUGCAGCACUGGGACCAAGAUUAAUAAAACACCCGCCUCACGGAAGACAGCUUUAUCUUGUUGAUCGGAAGUCUGCCAGCCCAAUUUAUGAUGGAACAUAAGAUCUCCAAAUCUGAAUUUAUGCGCUGUAGGGUAACGAGAGGUCAAUAAGAUUAAACAGGGGCUCAGGAGAGGACCAGCGUCAGGCUCACUGCGAGGUGCUGCACAGAAAACCCACAGCCAGAGCCCCUGGGCCCAGCCCAGGCAAGACCAGAAAGGGAGGGGGCAGGUGGGAGACCAGCCUGGGGCUCCCGGGAAGCCUACGGGAUGGAAGCGGGAGAGCCAGGAGGCCUGGGGCAACCCUGGGACGGUUCCUGGAUCGAGGAGAGCAGGGGGGUGAUGAGGGUUCCCUCAGGGCUGGGGAGCCUUCUCCUGGUCUCAGACCCACCCCCCCUUCAGCUCCCAAGCCCUGGGUGCCCCUGGCUCAGAACAGUUGGGAAUCUUCCCUGAGGCAGGUUCAAGGACAGAGCUCUGACCCUGGCCCAGGGCUGCUUUGGGUGCCCAUGAACUCGGCUUCUGGCUCAGAGCAGUUCCCUGCACCCCUUCCUGAGCCCUCUGUCCUCUGGAACCCAUGGGCAGGGUGAGGGACGGGUGCUCCGUCUGGGUGGGGGCCUGGGCGCCCAGCCAGCACGAGGCUGGCUUGCUGAGCUUAGGGCAGACCCCGACUUCAGAAUUUAUACAAAUAAACGCAAUGAAAAGUGCUGG